CCCUGGCGCCCGGCUCCCUUGCGUAGAGCCGCGGUGUUGUGAUCACGUGGGCUGCCCGGGGCGCGCGGCUUGUUUUGGUUUCCCUAGCGCUCACCCGGCGUAGCUUCGGUGAGCCGCUGUCCUUCUCGGGCUCCACUGCCACCUGCACCCCAGCUGGUGUUCGGGCUCUCUCGGCCCACGCUCCUAGGAGCCCCUCGGAGCGGCGUCCUGUCAUGCCUCUGGUGCGCUAAAGGAAGGUGGCCAUCCUGGGGUACCGCUCCGUAGGGAAGACAUCUUUGGCACAUCAAUUUGUGGAAGGCGAGUUCCUGGAAGGCUACGAUCCUACAGUGGAGAAUACUUACAGCAAGACAGUGACUCUUGGCAAAGAUGAGUUUCAUCUACAUCUAGUGGACACAGCAGGACAGGAUGAGUACAGAGUUCUGCCCUAUUCACUCAUCAUCGGGGUCCAUGGCUACGUGCUUGUGUACUCUGUCACCUCUCUGCAUAGGUAUGUGACUAAGAUUUUGAGUGGUGCUUGGAGGACUCAACAAUAAUCCCAGAACUGAGAUUAGAGCUCUAUCUCUUACAUUUUGAAGCUUCCAAAUCAUUAAGAGCCUGUACCAAAAGCUACAUGAAGGCCAUGGUGAAACUCGGUAAGUGGCCUCGGGAAACAAAGUGUGGACGUGCUGGUCUGGAAGAAAGCAAACGUGUGGGUUCUUCAGGGAAGCUGGACAUAGACCAUGCCUGGCUUGUUUGGGAAAUCAUCUUGCAUUGCUGUAGUUAGACUAGUUGGGGUCCAUAGAGAAUGGGGAAAGGGCUCUUUUUUUUUUUAAUAGUUUAUUUUUUACAUUCCAGGGAAAGGGCUCUUAUAAUCAUACAAUAGUAACUGCUGUUUCAUCACAGGCUGCCUGUGGUGCUUGUGGGGAACAAGGCAGAUCUCUCUCCAGACAGGUGUGUAAACCUCUGCUGCUCAUGGCAAAGGAAAGUAAGUUGUACUAGGGAUCAGUCAAGCUAUAGUCCUUCCCGCUAUGUUUGAGACCGGAUCUUCAGCAUGUAGUCCAGACUGUCCUUUUUUUUUUUUUUUUGGUUUUUCAAGACAGGGUUUCUCUGUAUUGUUUUGGAGGCUGUCCUAGAACUCACUCUGUAGACCAGGAUGGCCUCAAACUCACAGAGAUCCACCUGCCUCUGCCUCCUGAAUGCUGUGAUUAAAGGCAUGAGCCACCAACGCCCGGCCAGACUGUCCUUUUAACUCCCUGUCCUCUUGCCUUUCCAGCAGUGCCAGUGGAGAUUGUAGGGGUGGGUCACCAUGUCUGGCCAUUUUUCCCCCUUUUCAUCAUUACCUUGAUGGUUACUUAAGGACAACUCUGUCAUAAAGUCACAAUUCCUAUUUCAGGCUUUAGUCUUGCAUUUAUUUACCCAUCAUGCUUUUGUUUACAUGUAUUUUUUCUCACCUCACCCUCAUCAAACCAUGGGGGAGGGGUGUGAAGCAUCAAGAGGAAAUCUAAAUCUCAAAGAAUCUUCAGAGAGUUUUCAGGCAUUGUUUGUUUGGGUUUUUUUUUUUUUUUUUUUUGGUAUUUAUGAGACAGGGUUUCUCUGUAUUGUUUUGGAGUCUGUCCUGGAACUCGCUCUGUAGACCAGGCUGGUCUAGAACUCACAGAGAUCCGCCUGCCUCUGCCUCCCGAGUGCUGGGAUUAAAGGCAUGCGCCAGUCUACAGGCAUUGUUAUCUGCCUUCCAUCUUUAUGUUCCAAAUUUGCUUCCAGGGAGGUGCAGGCAAUUCAAGGGAAGAAGCUAGCGGAGUCCUGGGGCGCUACGUUUGUGGAAUCAUCUGCUAGAGAGAACCAGCUAACUCAAGAUAUUUUCAUCAAAGUUAUCCAGGAAAUUGCCCGUGUGGAGAAUUCUUAUGGGCAAGA
This is an RNA transcript of Mesocricetus auratus (golden hamster), 1890 nucleotides long. It is a transcript of the gene named RHEB like 1, with no coding region annotated. The record is from RefSeq and is a predicted model, not a curated record. The transcript has 5 exons. Lineage: Eukaryota; Metazoa; Chordata; Mammalia; Rodentia; Cricetidae.